This 491-nucleotide long non-coding RNA is filed under the name Cotesia glomerata. RNAcentral's name for it is "uncharacterized LOC123270230, transcript variant X1". The record is from RNAcentral. Lineage: Eukaryota; Metazoa; Arthropoda; Insecta; Hymenoptera; Braconidae.
AUUGCCGGUGAAAAGUAUUGUUGUUGUUGUUCUUAAAAAACAAUUGAUGCAUUAAAAAAUUUAUAGUUAAGUAAUUAAUAACAAUCAUAAGAAGUUAACAAUGUCUCAACUGACAGACCUUGAAGUGAAACAAGAAACUCAAAAUGUUCUUGAAAAUAUCAAUGAGAUGACUAAAAAAAUCAAAGCUGAAUUUAAGUUAAUUAACCAGCUGAUUGACUCUAACGGGCAGCUGGGAAAAUUAGCUAACGAGGCCAAUCAGAAAUUAAUUAACCAAGCUCAGCAACUUGGAAAAAAAGUUACUCUUGAUGCAGAGGAUUCGGAUGAGGUUGGAGGUAAUCACGAGCUCAGGUCUUCCAUCGAUGCUGUGACUCAAAAAUUGAUGGGAAUUAUGGAAGAUUCGUAAUUACUUUGAAGUUACCUGAAUAACUUUAACUUGAGGAUCGAAACGCGGUGGCCGUCCAAAGUGUAACAUCCAGUUGAGUCUAGCGCCU